Molecule: long non-coding RNA, 9806 nt
Filed under: Micromonas commoda
Lineage: Eukaryota; Viridiplantae; Chlorophyta; Mamiellophyceae; Mamiellales; Mamiellaceae
Description: long non-coding RNA (MCOM_LNC000379)
Source: RNAcentral
CCUCCACGGACAAGCUCCUUUCGAGCGUCUCCAUCGCGGCCUCGCGCUUGCGCCGAUCGGCGAUAAGCUUGAUGCGUUCCUCUUCCUUUUCGGCUCGUUCGAUGAGCGCGUUGAUGCGCUUCUGCUCAAUGUCCUUCGCUGCCUGGUUGCGGGACAAGACGUACUGGGACCGCUCGGACAACUUCGACCUCAUGUCCUGAAUCUUGGCAGCCUUCUUCGACGUGAGGUCUUUCCAGCGCAUGUCGGCGGCGGUAGUUUUCUUCAUGGUCUUGGUGCGGAAUUGCUCUGUGGUUUGCUCGCUGCGCACUAUGGCCUGCUCACGCUUCUGCGCCUGGAACAAGUGAAUCGCUUGAUUCUUAGCUGCAAUCUCCUGUUCCUCUUUCCUCCUCGCUGCGAGUCUCGCCGCCUCCUUCUCCUCCAUGAGCCGCGCCUUGUGCGCUAUCUUCCUGUUCUUCUCGGCACGCAUCGCGUCGACGCGAGCCUGGAACUCGGCGUUCCUUUGCCUGCGUAACUCCUCCUUCUCCUUCUUCUCCUGACGAGCUCUGCGCUCCUCAGCCUCGCGUAGCCGCUUUAACUCCAACUCCCUCUCGUGUUUCUCCGCUGCCCUGCGCUGCUUCUCUUUCUCGAGCUUCUCUUGGUUCAGCUUGAGCUGCUGGAGCUUGAUGAAGGUCUCAUUCGCCUUCUUCUGGUCCUCGAGAGCCUUCUCGUGCGCUCGCUGUCGUUCCAGCUCCUUCGCUCGGCGAACCUUCUCCUCCGCCGCAGCCUGCCGCUCGAGCUUCUUCAGCGCGUUCUGCUCCAUCACCUCCACUUGUUUCUGGGCUUUUCGCCUGGCGGCCAGCAUGCGAUUCUGUUCCUCUUCGAAAGCGGUGCUCUUGAGAACUCCACCGCUGGCUCCCGGACCGGGGCUGUACAUGACGGGUUCGCCAUCCUCGGACACGAAGCUGCCUCCUAGCGUCUUACCGACCGGGCUCGUGGGACUGCCGAGACGCCCCGGGCUCGUGGGACUGCCGAGACGCCCCGGGCUCGUCAUGCGCGGGCUUAAAGGCCUGACCCUGCUCGUCCAGCCGGGCGAACUCGUGGCGCCUUCGACGCCGGGCACCCGCGUCGCCUCCUCAAGUGGCACGACGGGGAGCCUGUCGCGAGCCCUGCUGAGAACUUCGAUGCGCUCCCUGCGGAUGGACUCGUAGUGUUCCCACUUGAGCCGCUGAUGUUCGCGGCUCAGUCCGGGCUUUGCGAAGUCGGCGAGAGCCUUGGGGACCAGCAUCUCCGGCUCGACGCCAUGGUCCAGGCAGACCUUGAUGGAUCGGGGCGAUGUCAGGACCACGGGUGUAUCGUCGUCCGAGUGGCGCGAGGCGAGAUCAUCGAUGGAAAUCCUCACACUGACCGGCGAUCCUAUCAUGCUGACUGAUUUGCCAACCCAAGACUGCGAGCGAAGGGAUUAUGGAUGUCAGGGCGUGUCUCGGGCGCCUCGCGGCGGGGAGUGCUAUCGGGGGCGAUUCGGCGGCAAUUGAUGAAUUCAACUCUCUCAACACUCACCAGCGAAGACCGCGCCUCACCGGCAGAUUCCAAAGGGUCCCUCACGGGAUGUUUCAUCGGACUCGGCGUGGGCGGGAGUUGUCCCGACAUGUUGGCCACCGUUGGGCUCGUCUCCUGUGUCAGGCCGGCGCUCACUGGAGUGAGUGCGUUGCCAAAUCUGGGCGGGAUUUUGGUGAUGACUGUUGGCCGAGUUGGCAAAGAUUUCGCGGCGAGUUCGCAAAAAAGAACCCGUCCAAAAUCUCACAGCAGGGGGACGCCCAGGAUGGGCCCUCAGGGCAAGCGAUGGCCGAAGUGGAAGCAGCGGCGCGACAACUCGGGCGAUGAUGUCACCGAAGAGAACCGUCAGAAAAAGCUCCACCACGGCAUCAAGUGCAUCCGAAAGGCGCUGAAGAAGGCACGCACCUUCGAGGAGCAAAAGAUCAAGCGGCGAACCGCGCAGGCGACGGCGGCGGCGAAAAGCGGCGGGAAGAAGCCCACAAUCGUCGCGAGCGCCGCGUUGCUCGAUGCGGAUAAGCUCGCGCAGCAGCUCGUGGCUGUCAAGGCACUCGAUCUCGAGGCACUCGGAUCCUACAUGGGGCGCGCCACGUACGACGCCGUCCUCGCGUCCCGAGAUGCGCCCACCGCCGAAAAAGCUCUACCAACCGCCGACGAGACGGAGACGGCGACGGCGGAGACGGCCGUCGGGCCUGGUGCUAUCGAAGCGGCGGGCGUGCAGCAGGCUCUCGUCGUCGCCCGUCGUAUUCUCGCCGCCGCCUGCGUGCGGACGGAGGUGAACGCCCUGCAGGAGAAGCUUGUGCUGGUGGGAGACAGGCAGGAGUGGGCAAAGGGCAGACUCGAGCGGGAGGAGCUCAGGCGGCUCGCAAAGGAGGAGGCAACGGCGGCGAAGGAGAAAGCGAAGGAAGAGGCGGAGAAGGCGAAACAAGAGGAGAAGGAUCGCACGAAGCACAGAGGUCCCGGGGCUGUCGACGAUGGGAAAGUGGGUAGCGAAGGCGGCGACGACAGCGAAAGGGAGAGCGGGGAUGAGGAAGACGACUGGAGCAGCGGCGGGGAGGACGACGGUCGCCCGGACCUCAGCGACAGUGAUGACGAGGACUCCGACUCGGAUGAUAUCGUCAUCAAGGACGAUGACGGUGAGCUCGAGCGGUUUCUUGCGGAGGAGGCUGCGAACGAGGGAGGCGAUGUUGGAAGCAGCGACGACGAAGAAGAGGAAGAAAGCGAGAGCGACCCGGACGAGGAGCUGCCUCCCGAGCUCGCCAAGAUCCUCGGCGUUGAGCAGAAACGGAAAAAGGGUGGAAACGUGAAGGAUGAAAAGAAAGGAGCGAAGAAGAAGGCGGAACCCCCCGCCAAGAAGAAACCGAAGAAGCGCAUGGGUCAGCGCGCACGACGUGCCAUCGCCGAGGCAAAAUUCGGACAGAAUGCAAACCACAUCAAGGCUGAGCGCGAAGAACAGAUGCGGCGAGAGAGGCAGGCGCGCGAGCAAGAGGAGAUGGCCAAGAUGCAUCCGGCGUGGGCGGCGAAGCGCGCAGCUGCGGCGGCAUUGGCUGCGGCGCCAAAGGGAACGAAGGUUUCCUUUGGUGACGACGGCGACGCGGUUGGUGUUCAAAAGCUCAAGAGAACGUCGGAGGGCGCUCAAGUCAGGAACGAAAGGGAUGGUAAGAAGUCGACGACUCCGAAGCCGAAGGCUCCAAAACCUCCCAAGGUGCAUAUCGAGAUCAAGGGCGGCACUGGUGAGGUGGUGGGCAAGGUGACCAAGCCGAUGGGACCUUCAGGCGCGAAGAAGGAUGAUGAUAAAUCCGCCAAGAAGAAGCCGAGUGGCGGAUACGACGGAUACAAUCCGGACGCGGCUGAGUCUCAUCCCGCGUGGGCGGCGAAGCGCAAGGCCGCCGAGCAGGCCACCGCCAAGCCCGCGGGCAAGAAGAUCAAGUUUGACGAUUAGAUCACAACAUAAUAUUACUUGGUAUUACUAGCGCACCGGAUCUCACCUGCUCGACGGGGCACCCUCCCUGUCCGCUGCAUGCGCUGGGCCCGGAUCCACCAUACAUCCAUCAUCUGAGCACUGGGCAAUACCGUACUCCAUGCCGUCGACGAGAGCCCUGAAGGAAGCCUCGAUGAUGGAGGCGUGCGCGCCGACGGUUCGCCAGGUGAUGUCCGUGUCCCUGUCCGCAAAGUCCAUCGUGACUCGGGUCACUGCCGCGGAUGUGCCAGCCGUGCUCAACAGGUCCACUUUGUAGUCCUGGAGGUGGAUCUGCUUCAGCUGCGGGAACUUAUCGGUGAGCGAUAGACGCAGAGCAUUGGCGAGUGCAUUUACCGGACCAUUACCCUCGGCCACGCACAGUUGGGUGUUCCUGGAGGCGGGCGUGGUAUCGUUGUCGAACACGUCCACCUUAACAACAACCUGGUUCACCGCGACCGACCCUUUCUUAUACCCCGCCUGCUGCGGGUGCGUGAAGGGCGCCUCAAGCUCGUCCUCGGGGAGCACGUCCUGGAGCCUCUCGUCGCCUCCCACGAGAAGGUCGUUCGGAGUGAACCCUCCGAAACUGCUGUUGGACGCGGUGACGUUGAACUCCAAUACAUUGAAGGGUGCCCGGUAGUUAGGGUCGGCGCGGCGGAAGAGGAUAUCAACCGAUGCCCCGGCAUCCUCGAGGACGAACCCGCGAGACUCGAGAUCCUUGAUCUGCGACAGCACCUGCGCCGCGGUUUCUUUGCUAACCUCCCGGCCCGACGCCAUCGCGGCCGACAGGAUGUUGCCGCGGCCGCUCAGCUCCGAGAUGACGCUUCGCGCCUCAUUGCCAACCAGCGUUGGGACGAUGUGAUUGUAGCUCGCCGGCAUCUUCUGUAAAGCGGCGACGUGCAGGCCACCCUUAUGCGCAAAUGCACUUGACCCCAUGUACGGCUGACGGGGAUCCUGAUGCUGGCUGCACAGCUUGGCAACCGCCGCGGACACCUGGGUGAGCCGCUGCAAAGAACCCUCGGGCAGCGCUGUCCUUCCCAUCUUGAGCUCGAGGUUGGCGGCGACGACGAGCAGGUCGGCGUUACCCGUCCGCUCGCCGUACCCGUUCACGCACCCCUGCACCAUCGUCGCACCGCCCCUGACCGCCGCGAUGGAGUUGGCCACGGCGAGCGAAGUGUCGUUGUGGCAGUGAAUCCCCACCGAACAAUCGGCACCCGUCGCGUCCACCGCCUCCUUCACCUCCCGCGUGAACUCCUCGACGUCCCAAGGCAACGUGCCUCCGUUCGUGUCGCACAGCACGACAAAUUUCGCGCCCGAUUUGGCCGCCGCGGCCGCACAUUUCACCGCAAACUCCGGGUUCGCCUUACGACCGUCGAAGUAGUGUUCGCAGUCCACCAGGACCUCCUUCCCAGCGGCUACGAGGUGAGCGACGGAUUCCUCAAUCAUCGCGAUGUUCUCCUCAGGGGAGACGCCGAGAACCUUCUCGCACUGCUCGUCCCACGCCUUAGCCACGAUGCACACGCACGGGGCGGGGCAGUCGGUGAGAGCCUUGAGACCCUCGUCAUCGUCUGCGGUGACCCCUCGCCGGCGGGUCAUGCCGAACGCGGCGAGCUUGGUGCCUCCCGCAGCCGCGCGGUCAGCAAGCCCCGAUGAGGUCCACCUGGAGAAGAACUCGACAUCCUUGGGGUUGCUGCCGGGGUAACCUCCCUCGAUGUACGCCACCCCGAGGCCCACGAGGUGCUCGGCCACGGCGAGCUUGUCGUCGCAGGUCAAGGAUAUGCCGACCUGGCGAGGGAACGGGGAAGUCGCGGUCAGACGGGAAGGCGGGGCGAACGGAUGGUUUUUUUUUUUAAGUUCGUUAGGCAUGAGGGGUUUUCCGGUUAAACGGGCGGCGAUCCAGAGAGUCUCGCCGCUUUGGGAGGUAUCUGACUAACCUGCUGGGAACCGUCGCGAAGUGUGGUAUCGUAGCACACCACGUCGGCAUCGUCGCCCGCCGAACCAGGGGAGUCAGCAGCCCUCGGAACGACCGCUCGGACGCUGCCGGGAACCCGAAAAAGCGAGGGUAUCUCUUUGGAUUUCCGAGCUCGUCCGCCCGCUCGCCGACGGUUGAGGUUCGCGACCGAGCGCGACGCGAGGGGCGCGCCGGAGAGAAGCGACAAAGACAUGGCCGUCUAUAGACAAGGGGACGCCUGUGGAUUCCCCAAGCCAGCUGGGAGACGGUGGAUUGCCCUCCGGAUUACUGAUGACAAAUUUGCGGGGCCCUCCCAAAUGUCCCCAAAUUAUCAGCGGAGUUUGACGGUUCACGAACCCAGUCUCCUCCCCAGCAGUUCACGAACCGGCGUGAUCCUCCGCAACAGGCCUGGGCAGAGCCACGUCGCGGGUGCCGAACUUUCCGCGAAACUUUCGACGUCACCCGAUCUUGCGGACACACCAAGAGGCGCGGACCCGAGGCUACAUCUCGUAUCGCAAUGUCUCUUCCCAAGCUUGAAUUUGCCAAGACUGGCCGAUCCACCUGCCGAGAGUGCGGCGAGGGCAUCGCACAGGGCGUCAUGAGGGUGGGCAUCGAAGCCUUUGUCGCAGGACGUGUAUGGUGCGUGCGCUCAUCUCAACCUCUCCCUUAUCGCACGUGAAACGACCCCUCUCGUCCCCAUCUGACCCGUAAAUCGCCCCUCUGCCCGCAGCGAUUGCUGGAGUCACGUCAAAUGCAGCCUGGGCGCCAUGUUCCUGGAGAAGUGCACGGCAGCCAGGGGCAAGUGCAAGGCGACGGACGAGCCAUUCAAAAAGGGCGACGUCAGGCUCGCAGUUUGCAGCAAGGCGCACAAGGCUUACUACUCCAUGGCGGGUAUGGGCGACGCCGUGCGACCCAUCGUGGAGGCUUCCGAGGGCGAAUACACAGCCUCAGACAUCACCGGUUUCCUGGCCCUCUCCAAGGAUGAGCGCGCGGCCGUCUGUGCCGCUGUAGACGUCAAGGCCACGGCCAGCGCCAAAAAGCGCUCUCGCCGCGGCAGCGACGUCACCGUCGCCGAGGUCACCGUGGCGGCCGUGAAGGACGAGAAGAAGGCUGCGGCGGACACUCCCGCGUCUGCGAACAGAAGGCCCGGCAGGAGGUCCUCCGCCGUGUCCGCUCCCCCCGCGCCGGCGACGCCCGCCGAGGACGAGGAGGGCGAGGAGGCUGGCGACUCCGACGGUCUCACCGAAUUCGAGCGCCAGCGCGAGGAACUCAUCGCGCGGAACAAGGCGAGGAUGGCAGCUCUGAACAUUGGCACACUCGCGUCCGAAGUCGCGACCGCGUCGGCUAAGCCCGCGAACGGACCCUCCCAGCGUGGCAUCGGAUCCAAGCGCAAGAAGGAGCCCAAGGAGGAUGCCGGGCCGCCGCGCCGAUCCCUCCGCGGCCAGAAGAUCGCCCCCGACGCAACGCUCGCGGGUGGAGUCGACUACGAGCGCAGGGAUGGGACGGUGAUCCUCGCCAACGGCAUGUACAGCGGUUCGGGCACUCGCUCAGACUCGCCUCCGCCGCCUUCCAGGCCCACGGGUGACGUCAAGCUCAAUAGCGUCAACGGAGAGGAGAGUGCGGAUGAGGCGUUCAUCUCGUUCCUGCGCGACACCCUGUCCGGCGUCACCGCCGCCUCGUCUGACUUUGGCGAUGGCGUGACGAUCAAGCACGACCGUGGUUCGUUCACCUCCGCGAAGUCCCUCGUCGGCGCGAAGAUCAAGCUGACGGACGAGGCUGUCGCCAAGGUUGUGCCCCGCGGCGUGACCCACCUCGAUCUCGCGCCUUACGACCCUGACGGCCCCCUCGUGGCCGCCGCGGGUGAUAAGGACGGCAACGUGGGUCUCUGGAGGGUCGACUACGAAGCCCCUGGCGGUGCCGACGACGAGGGCGAUGGGAGCGACGACGGCGUGCUCUUCUACAAGCCCCACGGCUCGUACAUCUGCCACCUCAAGUGGGGCCGCGGCGGUCUCGCGGGUCGUCUGCUCACGUGUGCGUACGACGGCGCCGUUAGGACCCUGGACGCCGAGAAGGGCGUUUUCACGGAGUUGUUCGUUUCCGAGGACGAGGACGAGUUCAGCGCGUGCGAUGUGACGGCGGACGGUAGGACCAUUCACCUCUCAGAUAACGUUGGAAACUACCACGUUGUCGACGCCAGGUCCGGGAAGUUAACGUCACCGGCGGUGCAGCUCCACGAGAAGAAGAUCAACACCGUGCACCUCGAACCCGGCGCUGAGCGCGUGGUGGCCACCUCGUGUGGCGAUCAGACCGUGUGCGUUUGGGACGUUCGCAAGUGCGGCAAGGGCGCCAAGCCGCUGAGUCGGCUUCAGCACUCCAAGUCGUGCCAGGCGGCGUACUUCGCGCCAAACGGAUCGGGUGAGCUGCUGACCACCUGCUACGACGAUCUCAUCCGCGUGUGGCGCCCCAAGUCCGGUGCUGACGCCGGUUCGGUGAACGACGACCCCAAAUCGUGCCUCAAGAUCAAGCACAACAACCAGACUGGCAGGUGGGUCCUUCCCUUCCGCGCGGUGUGGACCCCGGCUGGCGAUGGCGUCGUCAUCGGAUCCAUGCGAAGGGAGAUUGAGGUGUUCGAGUCGUCGAGCGGGAAGCUCGCGGGCAAGUACUCCGAUGCCGAGCGCAUGACGGCCAUCGCAUCCAGAUACGCUGUGCACCCUUCGAAGGACAUCAUCGCGGCUGGUACGGCCAGCGGAAGGCUGCACAUUUACCGUAAAUAAACGAUUCUUUGAAUGUACAUUAGAUUUACAUUGCGCGUCUAUCAUAAGACUCUACGCCGUGUGAAAGAUCGUCCCUCCUCCCGCUCGUCCGUGUCCCUUCGGACCGAAGUUCUUCGCGUAGCACACCUUGCAGUACGGCUCCCCCUUGUGGUCGGUGAUCUCCGCGACCGAGCCAAGAGUCUUUUCGCAACCUUCGCACCGAAGACACCCUUUGUGCCACUCGGUGCCGUUCAGACCGACGACCCUCUCUGCGAAGUACACCGUCUUGCUGCACUUCGGGCACUUGGGCUGGUUCGCGCCGAACGCCUUCGGGUUGAACUUUGCGGGCUUGGCGGCGACGGGCUCGGGCUCGGGUUCCGGCUCUUCUGGUUCGUGCCUCUCGAUUCCCACCUCCAACGCCUCCGUCGCGCGGGCCCUCGCCGCCUCCUCCGCCAUGUUUGGUCCGAGGGGGAACGCCAUCUUGGGUCUGAGAGGAGACGCGGGGGGAGAAGCCAGAGGUGACGUCAGCGGCGAUGUCAUCGCUGGUGACUUUGGGGGUGCCUCUUGCUUUUCCUCCUUCUUCGGUGGUUUCGGUGGUGUGGCGGAGGUGCCCGAGGAGAUGUUCUCGAACUUCGCCGCCAGGAUCUUGGUGCUGGGUGACUUAGUGGUGGACUUCGGCGGUGGGGUGGCAUCCGUGGAGUUCUCGCGCGCCAUCUGUUCGAAUUUCUGCGCGAGUUCCUUCGCUGAGGGAGUGCUCAUGUUGGCGGUGCCGUCUGCGUUUCGUCAACGUUAGCGUCGUUUGGAUCUCUCGGCCGUCGCAGUAUCCCAGACUCCGAAGGAUGCGCGCUAUGACCUCAACGCGCGGAGUUUGUGAUACCCGUAGAUGCGCCAGCGGGAUGACGACCGCUGUGGAAGAGACGCGCCGCUUGAGACUGGAGGUCGAGCGUUGAGGCACCUCGAAAAAGCCAACGUUCGAAAACGCUGCUGUGCUUUUGCGUGAUGACGAGGACGACUUGAGGAGGACAGCAGUCUACAUUUCCUUCCGCAGGGGUGCUGGACGCCAAUGGACUCAAAGGAGAUCACAUACGGCUGACCGCCUCCCGAAGAUGUGUCAGACGCAGCGACGGAUGGUGACGCCCGAUGUAUAUAGGCGAAGGGUGCCGAACCGAAGUCCCUGAGUCUCGGAAGAGCGGCGGCACUUUCGGUAGGUUUUGCUCAUUCAGUGCUGCCGAACUCGAUGAUUUUGCCCGCCGACACACUGCCGAUGAUGCACACCAGUAUCGCUAACUCACGCUUGACUGGUGGUAAUAGUCAGCCUGGGCGGAUGAUGAUAAUAAUGCUCGUUGCAACAACCGUUGAACGCAUGAGGCACUCGAGUCGUGUGGUGAACACCCGGAACCAAGUUGAUAUCCCACCCUCGCAUCAGUGCCUGAUGCCAUCCCCCCCCCUCCCCUUCCACACCGUAGCGGUUCGACGAGGACAUCGUGGUGUCGCGAUUGUCUCAUCUAUCUAGAUUGGGUAUUACAUGUCGUGUUCAAAACAAAGAAGAUACAAACAAUCAUCAGUGGUUCCACCAUCCCUCCGGGACGAUUCCCUUGAACCACUGCCCCGAGCC